GCUGCCCCAGCCGACCACAGCAAAGCUCCUCCGGCCGGUCGCCCUGAGGAGCGUGGACGGCCGGCUCAGGGAGUGUGCAGGCGGCCGCCCUAGGGAUCAUGGAGGCAGCCACCUCCACAAUUCCCAGAGUGGUCUCAUGCAGGCUCCUCCGGGAGGCCAUCUGCACACUCCCUGAGCCAGCCUCAGGGUGACCAGCCAGCUCCAUUGUCCGACUGCAUUUAGCUAAAGGGCUUUAAAUCCCAGGCGCUAGGGAAAAAUUUCUAGUCGCAAUGGCGACCUG
Non-coding RNA from Pelobates cultripes (western spadefoot toad), 280 nucleotides. The record is from the annotation of a GenBank genome assembly. Lineage: Eukaryota; Metazoa; Chordata; Amphibia; Anura; Pelobatidae.